UCCAAAUCAACCUGAGAUGCUGGGACUGGAAGAAGGAGCCUGAGUUGGUCUCUGAGGCAGGAAACAAGGUUGCCAACCACGUGGGAGCAGGGCCAAGAGGCUAAGAAAGGGGGAGGCUCUGUGUCAGGGUUUUGAGGCAAAAUGGCCCCAUCACCUUCUGUGCCACUGGCUUCUGUGACAUAAGCCAGUCUCUCCAGGGUGGAGGGUUGGUGCCAAGGCUGGGUGCGGCCUCUUCAGAGCUGUUGAGAAAGUCACAGAGUUGGAGGGCUCUCCUGUCUUAUGAGUCAAGGCCGGAAUGUGGGGGGCAGGCAGAGAAGGGCUCUGAUACAUAGUUUUCUUUCUGUGAAGAUACAGAUACAUCUACAGAAUAUUUUUAGUCAAUUCACUUUUCACUGUUGACUUUUGUUGUUUUUUACUUCCUCUAUUAUGAACAUACUUGAGCAUCUAAGAGGUUAAGGCUGCACAAUAAUUAUUAGAUUAGAAGCACAAGCAUCGGUUCAAAUGCUUCUACAUGGCCCGCCAAAGUGCCAUCUUAAGUUGUGAAGCAGGAGACAACCAGACUGCCAAGUGUAAUAUUUGUCUUUGGAAGCGUGGCCCCUGUGGAACAGCAGUAGCCCUUAAGCUGCCUCCAAGGUUUCUCUUAGCCAGCGUGUUGGCCAAACAGUCCCGCUCUUCAUUCGUUUUUUUCAGGCUUGGGAGGGGGCUGUUUUCAUGGGAAGAGACUGUCUAGGCACCGAGGAGGCUGUGGCAGUGGUGGGGGUCCGUGCCCGGGGUCCGUGCCCAGGGUCCUGCUCACACCAGGGCUCCCCCUUCCAGUCUACCUCUGGCAGAGUCAGGGAAACCCGCUGGGUUUGUGGAAACAGUGGAACGGAUGAGGCUGGCGCACCAACAAAAGCUCAGUGUUCCACCCACUCUGAAGCUGGCGCCAAGAUCCGUUCUCCAGAGACACUGACGGCUCUGUUCUGGGCAGGGCCAGCCUUGCGUCACCCACUGGGAGAAGGCGCGAGCUCGACCUCUCCCGGAAAGCCGCGGAGCCGCCAGGGAGCCUGCCGGACCCUGACCCCGGAUAGGCUGGGUGUUCACUUCCGGGAGGCCAUUCGGCUUUCUCCUGGCGCCCUGUGGAGGCCGAGGGCGCCUCAGCUUCUCACAGGGAAGGAGGAGGAGGACGCGGUCAGCCCCAGGACGCUGCCUUGUGAGCGGCUCCUGACCCCACCCUGCCCUGGCUGGACUCCUGGGCCCAGAGGCCUCCCAGAUCACAAAGGGCAACGGAGGGGAGAAAAAGUUUUCAAAGGUAGAAUCAGGGCAGGUUCCAGGCGCCAGCCCUGGGAAUGUGUGAAGGUGCCCCGUGGACUGGGAGUGGGUGCAGGCAGUGUGAUGGGACGUGCUUACCUAUGAGAGGCCUGAUCUCCUUACAUGGACUGAGUGCAGUAGAAUCUUGACUGCAGGGCCUCCGCUGUGAAAGAAAGCCAAAGAAAUCUUGGAGGCGCUGGCGCUGUUUCCUGGGCCUGUUGUGGCGCAUUAAUCAUGUCAGCUGCUGAGAGAGCCUGGAGGCGGGUGAACACAGAUACAGAAGGAUUUGGGGAUGUGUGGAGAAGACAGAACCCUGGGGAGACAGGAGGAGAAUGAGAGAUGUUGGAGUACUUGGCCUCAGUGAACGUCCUCUUUCACACUUGGUAUUUUCUUCCUGGCAAAUUGGAUGUUACCAACUGCAGCCACAAGAUUGUUGAAAGAAUAAAGCUUUCAUUCCAGAAAGCCUCCCCUGGACACAGAGAUGUGUACCAGUAGAGCUUUCUGCUAAAUCUUCAGAAUCUGUAAUUUAUCUGAGCAUCUUCCCCAUCUCUUUGCUCCUAAUUUCCCUUCCUAUGACAGACACUCUCCCUUCCCUUUGCCUCUCUGUACUUGGAUUAAUUGCACCCUUUUAGCAGAAUCUGAAAAGUCUUAGGGUUAUGUUGAAGGAAACUUGGGAGAUUCAAUCUGGGCAUGUGUGUGUGGGUUCCAGACACUGUAGACUGGAGAGCAUCCCCACCACCUGCCCGCCAAGAGCCUGGAGUUCAAGAUCAAAGGUACAUCCUAGCCUUCAUAGGUCAAGCUUCUCCCUCUCAGGGUGAGAGUCCUGCUAGUGUCACACAACCAAAAGGUCCACUGGAUACCCC
Molecule: long non-coding RNA, 2153 nt
Filed under: Capra hircus (goat)
Lineage: Eukaryota; Metazoa; Chordata; Mammalia; Artiodactyla; Bovidae
Description: lncRNA (ENSCHIG00000001778.1)
Source: RNAcentral